GCCCCCAUCGUCUAGUGGCCUAGGAUACUGGGUUUUCAUCCCAGCGACAGGGGUUCGAAUCCCCUUGGGGGUACCA
RNAcentral lists this transfer RNA (76 nucleotides) under Orenia metallireducens. RNAcentral's name for it is "tRNA-Glu". It matches the Rfam family "tRNA". Rfam says of the family: Transfer RNA (tRNA) molecules are approximately 80 nucleotides in length. Their secondary structure includes four short double-helical elements and three loops (D, anti-codon, and T loops). Further hydrogen bonds mediate the characteristic L-shaped molecular structure. tRNAs have two regions of fundamental functional importance: the anti-codon, which is responsible for specific mRNA codon recognition, and the 3' end, to which the tRNAs corresponding amino acid is attached (by aminoacyl-tRNA synthetases). tRNAs cope with the degeneracy of the genetic code in two manners: having more than one tRNA (with a specific anti-codon) for a particular amino acid; and 'wobble' base-pairing, i.e. permitting non-standard base-pairing at the 3rd anti-codon position. The record is from RNAcentral. Lineage: Bacteria; Bacillati; Bacillota; Clostridia; Halanaerobiales; Halobacteroidaceae.